CAGUCGCCGCGGUAAUACGCAGGGUGCGAGCGUUAAUCGGAAUUACUGGGCGUAAAGCGUGCGCAGGCGGUUAUAUAAGACAGAUGUGAAAUCCCCUGGCUCAACCUGGGACCUGCAUUUGUGACUGUAUUGCUUGAGUUCGGGAGAGGUGAGUGGAAUUCCCAGUGUAGAGGUGAAAUUCGUAGAUAUUGGGAAGAGCACCGGUGGCGAAGGCGGCUCACUGGACCGACACUGACGCUGAGGCGCGAAAGCGUGGGGAGCAAACAGGAUUAGAGACCCCCGUAGUCCCUGUCUCUUAUAC
This 301-nucleotide ribosomal RNA is filed under the name uncultured bacterium. RNAcentral's name for it is "partial 16S ribosomal RNA". It matches the Rfam family "Bacterial small subunit ribosomal RNA", at positions 509 to 807 of the family's 1533-position model. The record is from RNAcentral.